This 691-nucleotide ribosomal RNA is filed under the name uncultured bacterium. RNAcentral describes it as "bacterial SSU rRNA". It matches the Rfam family "Bacterial small subunit ribosomal RNA", at positions 8 to 694 of the family's 1533-position model. The record is from RNAcentral.
AGAGUUUGAUCCUGGCUCAGAUUGAACGCUGGCGGCAGGCCUAACACAUGCAAGUCGAGCGGAUGAAGGGAGCUUGCUCCCUGAUUUAGCGGCGGACGGGUGAGUAAUGCCUAGGAAUCUGCCUGGUAGUAGGGGAUAACGUUCCGAAAGGAACGCUAAUACCGCAUACGUCCUACGGGAGAAAGCAGGGGACCUUCGGGCCUUGCGCUAUCAGAUGAGCCUAGGUCGGAUUAGCUAGUUGGUGAGGUAAUGGCUCACCAAGGCGACGAUCCGUAACUGGUCUGAGAGGAUGAUCAGUCACACUGGAACUGAGACACGGUCCAGACUCCUACGGGAGGCAGCAGUGGGGAAUAUUGGACAAUGGGCGAAAGCCUGAUCCAGCCAUGCCGCGUGUGUGAAGAAGGUCUUCGGAUUGUAAAGCACUUUAAGUUGGGAGGAAGGGCAUUAACCUAAUACGUUAGUGUUUUGACGUUACCGACAGAAUAAGCACCGGCUAACUUCGUGCCAGCAGCCGCGGUAAUACGAAGGGUGCAAGCGUUAAUCGGAAUUACUGGGCGUAAAGCGCGCGUAGGUGGUUCGUUAAGUUGGAUGUGAAAGCCCCGGGCUCAACCUGGGAACUGCAUCCAAAACUGGCGAGCUAGAGUACGGUAGAGGGUGGUGGAAUUUCCUGUGUAGCGGUGAAAUGCGUAGA